RNAcentral lists this ribosomal RNA (424 nucleotides) under uncultured bacterium. Its description in RNAcentral is "bacterial SSU rRNA". It matches the Rfam family "Bacterial small subunit ribosomal RNA", at positions 28 to 458 of the family's 1533-position model. The record is from RNAcentral.
GACGAACGCUGGCGGCGUGCUUAACACAUGCAAGUCGAGCGGAGCACCUUCGGGUGUCGAGCGGCGAACGGGUGAGUAACACGUGGGCAACCUGCCCCUAGCUCUGGGAUAACUCCGGGAAACCGGGGCUAAUACCGGAUAUGACAUCUCCUCGCAUGGGGUGGUGUGGAAAGUUUUUUCGGCUAGGGAUGGGCCCGCGGCCUAUCAGCUUGUUGGUGGGGUGAUGGCCUACCAAGGCGACGACGGGUAGCCGGCCUGAGAGGGCGACCGGCCACACUGGGACUGAGACACGGCCCAGACUCCUACGGGAGGCAGCAGUGAGGAAUAUUGGUCAAUGGACGCAAGUCUGAACCAGCCAUGCCGCGUGAAGGAUGAAGGCCUUCUGGGUUGUAAACUUCUUUUAUUGGGGGAAGAAAAUUAAUGG